This 459-nucleotide ribosomal RNA is filed under the name uncultured bacterium. RNAcentral describes it as "partial 16S ribosomal RNA". It matches the Rfam family "Bacterial small subunit ribosomal RNA", at positions 338 to 795 of the family's 1533-position model. The record is from RNAcentral.
CCUACGGGCGGCAGCAGUGAGGAAUAUUGGUCAAUGGACGAAAGUCUGAACCAGCCAUGCCGCGUGCAGGAAGACGGCUCUAUGAGUUGUAAACUGCUUUUGUACAAGGGUAAACCUGAAUACGUGUAUUCAGCUGAAAGUACUGUACGAAUAAGGAUCGGCUAACUCCGUGCCAGCAGCCGCGGUAAUACGGAAGGCCCGAGCGUUAUCCGGAUUCAUUGGGCUUAAAGGGAGCGUAGGCGGGCGUUCAAGUCAGCUGUAAAAUCGCGCGGCUCAACCGCGCCCCGCAGUUGAAACUGGACGCCUUGAGUUCACAACAGGCAGGCGGAAUUCGUGGUGUAGCGGUGAAAUGCAUAGAUAUCACGAGGAACCCCGAUUGCGAAGGCAGCCUGCCGGGGUGCGACUGACGCUGAGGCUCGAAGGUGCGGGUAUCAAACAGGAUUAGAUACCCCAGUAGUC